Molecule: long non-coding RNA, 1057 nt
Organism: Salvia miltiorrhiza (redroot sage)
Lineage: Eukaryota; Viridiplantae; Streptophyta; Magnoliopsida; Lamiales; Lamiaceae
Exons: 4
Source: RefSeq, a predicted model, not a curated record
CCUUGGGUAUACCCAAGUGGGGGACAGAUGCCACAAAACUCCCAAUCUCAAGUGAGAUAGGCAGGGGCGGGGGAGUGGGGAGGGAAACCUUUAGAGAAGGUACCCCAAAAAACUAUCAAUUACAUUGCCUUUACAAAAUUACAAAGGAAUACAAGUACUAGGCAAGCUAUCCUCUAGCUUAGAUUUGAGGCCGAACUUUGCAGCAUUGCUCAGCGAAACUGACAGCAGCAGCACACCAAGGAAAAUGCAGCAAAAAACAGCAUCAAGUCCAGCAGCAGCAGGUAACAGGUACAGUUCAGGUGGCCAACAAAAGUCUCAAGAUUGCCAAAGGCCAACAAGGCAACCGGUACACUUGGAUAGCAUCGCAUUCAUCAGCAGCAGAGGAGUUGGAUCAGUGGAUGUGUGGUGUUCAGCAAAGGCCACUGGUUGAAAUUCUCCAAAACCUCCAGGAAACGAGCUGGAGCCCCUGUGAAGCAUAGCAGCACAAGAUCAAAAGCAGUAUUAAGACUUCAGCGUUUUCGACUAAGCAGUAGUAAGACCAUACUGUACUCGAACUGCUGUACAAUCCUUCCAAAGAGUGAGGUUAAUGGAGUAGAACUUUGAAAUCUUCAUGUGGCAAGGUGAUGAGCAACCGCCAUUGCUGUUUUUCUGUUGUUCAAUACCACCUCCCCUUGACGGUUUUCCGCAAAACAGAACCAGGCUGCAAGUUCUUGAAUUUGCCUAGGCCUCCCUUGUUUCUUGUGUUUACCAACAGUUUUGAGAUCAUCUAAAGGAAGUAGACAAGCAACAACAGGAGGAAAAGGAUUGAAAGCAUUGGCAAUUCUAGGCAAUAAUCAAAUUUCAGAGGGAUAGCAGCUCCAUUCCAUUCGAGAUGGGCACGUACAACCUCAGGGGGAUAUAUUUCGUUUAAGCACCGAUAAAUAUCGCAUUGUAUGUUAUAGGUUAUCUUACUUUCCACAAAAGGUUCUUUCUCAAAAAUAAGUUUAUUUCUUGCAAACCAAAUGUGGUUAACUGCCAUCGCAAGUGUUAGGAUUUUCGCCUUCUGGAGAAUGGCAGA